RNAcentral lists this ribosomal RNA (1324 nucleotides) under metagenome. RNAcentral describes it as "bacterial LSU rRNA". It matches the Rfam family "Bacterial large subunit ribosomal RNA", at positions 1561 to 2925 of the family's 2925-position model. The record is from RNAcentral.
AGUGGAUGGGGAGCAACCUAGUUGUGCGUGUGUAAAGGUAGUGCCAAGAAAAGCGAUGAUCAUGUUGAAAAUCAAUUCCCGGUACCCGAAACCGACACAGGUGGCAAGUAGAGAAUACUAAGGGGCGCGAGGUAACUCUCUCCAAGGAACUCGGCAAAAUGACCCCGUAACUUAGGGAGAAGGGGUGCCACCGAGAGGUGGUCGCAGUGAAGAGGCCCAGGCGACUGUUUAGCAAAAACAUAGGUCUCUGCAAACUCGAAAGAGGAGGUAUAGGGGCUGACGCCUGCCCAGUGCCGGAAGGUUAAAGAAGUUGGUCAGUCUUAGGAUGAAGCUAGCGACUGAAGCCCCGGUGAACGGCGGCCGUAACUAUAACGGUCCUAAGGUAGCGAAAUUCCUUGUCGGGUAAGUUCCGACCCGCACGAAAGGCGUAACGAUCUAGGCGCUGUCUCGGAGAGAGGCUCGGCGAAAUAGGAUUGUCUGUGAAGAUACGGACUACCUGCAUUUGGACAGAAAGACCCUAUGAAGCUUUACUAUAGCUUGGAAUUGUGUUCGGGCUUCCUGUGCGCAGGAUAGGUGGGAGGCGUAGAAGGUAUUCUUGUGGGGAUACUGGAGCCAACGGUGAGAUACCACUCUCAGGAGGCUAGAAUUCUAACUUAAUUAAGGACAGUUUCAGGUGGGUAGUUUGACUGGGGCGGUCGCCUCCAAAAAGGUAACGGAGGCGUACAAAGGUUCCCUCAGACUGGUUGGAAAUCAGUCGAAGAGUGCAAAGGCAGAAGGGAGCUUGACUGCGAGAAGUACAGUUCGAGCAGGGUGGAAACACGGUCUUAGUGACCCGACGGUGCUGUGUGGAAGGGCCGUCGCUCAACGGAUAAAAGUUACUCUAGGAUAACAGGCUGAUCUCCCCCAAGAGUUCACAUCGACGGGGAGGUUUGGCACCUCGAUGUCGGCUCAUCGCAACCUGGGGCGGAAGUACGUCCCAAGGGUUGGGCUGUUCGCCCAUUAAAGCGGUACGUGAGCUGGGUUCAGAACGUCGUGAGACAGUUCGGUCCAUAUCCGAUGUAGGCGUGAGAAUAUUGAGAGGAGCCUUCCUUAGUACGAGAGGACCGGGAAGGACGCACCGCUGGUGUACCUGUUAUGAUGCCAAUUGUAAACGCAGGGUAGCCAAGUGCGGAGAGGAUAACCGCUGAAAGCAUCUAAGUGGGAAGCCCACCUCAAGAUGAGUAUUCUGGUGUAAGGUCACGGGAAGACGACCCGUAAAUAGGCACGAGGUGGAAGUGCAGAGAUGUAUGAAGCCGAAGUGUACUAAUAGACCGUCGGCUUGACC